RNAcentral lists this ribosomal RNA (790 nucleotides) under uncultured Actinobacteridae bacterium. Its description in RNAcentral is "bacterial SSU rRNA". It matches the Rfam family "Bacterial small subunit ribosomal RNA", at positions 61 to 864 of the family's 1533-position model. Lineage: Bacteria; Bacillati; Actinomycetota; Actinomycetes. The record is from RNAcentral.
GUCGAGCGAUGAAGUUUCUUCGGAAAUGGAUUAGCGGCGAACGGGUGAGGAACACGUGAAGAAUCUGCCCUCCACUUUGGGAUAACACCGGGAAACCGGUGCUAAUACCGAAUAUUGAAACAUAAGUGGCAUCACUGAGUUUUGAAAGAAUUUCGGUGGAGGAUGACUUCGCGGCCUAUCAGCUAGUUGGUGAGGUAAUGGCUCACCAAGGCAACGACGGGUAGCCGGCCUGAGAGGGCGACCGGCCACACUGGGACUGAGACACGGCCCAGACUCCUACGGGAGGCAGCAGUGGGGAAUAUUGGGCAAUGGAGGAAACUCUGACCCAGCGACGCCGCGUGCGGGAUGAAGGCCUUCGGGUUGUAAACCGCUUUCAGUAGGGAAGAAGCGAAAGUGACGGUACCUACAAAAGAAGCACCGGCUAACUAUGUGCCAGCAGCCGCGGUAAUACAUAGGGUGCAAGCGUUGUCCGGAAUUAUUGGGCGUAAAGAGCUCGUAGGUCGUUUGUUACGUCGGAUGUGAAAACCUGAGGCUCAACCUCAGGCCUGCAUUCGAUACGGGCAAACUAGAGUUUGGUAGGGAAGACUGGAAUUCCUGGUGUAGCGGUGGAAUGCGCAGAUAUCAGGAGGAACACCAAUGGCGAAGGCAGGUCUCUGGGCCAAUACUGACACUGAGGAGCGAAAGUCUGGGGAGCGAACAGGAUUAGAUACCCUGGUAGUCCAGACCGUAAACGGUGGGCACUAGUUGUGGGAACCUUCCACGGUUUCUGCGACGCAGCUAACGCAUUAAG